This 492-nucleotide ribosomal RNA is filed under the name uncultured bacterium. RNAcentral describes it as "partial 16S ribosomal RNA". It matches the Rfam family "Bacterial small subunit ribosomal RNA", at positions 29 to 507 of the family's 1533-position model. The record is from RNAcentral.
AGUGAACGCUGGCGGUAGGCCUAACACAUGCGAGUCGAACGGCAGCACAGUAAGAGCUUGCUCUUACGGGUGGCGAGUGGCGGACGGGUGAGGAAUGCAUCGGAAUCUACUUUUUCGUGGGGGAUAACGUAGGGAAACUUACGCUAAUACCGCAUACGACCUACGGGUGAAAGCAGGGGAUCUUCGGACCUUGCGCGAUUGAAUGAGCCGAUGUCGGAUUAGCUAGUUGGCGGGGUAAAGGCCCACCAAGGCGACGAUCCGUAGCUGGUCUGAGAGGAUGAUCAGCCACACUGGAACUGAGACACGGUCCAGACUCCUACGGGAGGCAGCAGUGGGGAAUAUUGGACAAUGGGCGCAAGCCUGAUCCAGCCAUACCGCGUGGGUGAAGAAGGCCUUCGGGUUGUAAAGCCCUUUUGUUGGGAAAGAAAAGCAGCAGGUUAAUACCCCGCUGUUCUGACGGUACCCAAAGAAUAAGCACCGGCUAACUUCGUG